RNAcentral lists this ribosomal RNA (494 nucleotides) under Escherichia coli. RNAcentral's name for it is "bacterial SSU rRNA". It matches the Rfam family "Bacterial small subunit ribosomal RNA", at positions 1 to 488 of the family's 1533-position model. Lineage: Bacteria; Pseudomonadati; Pseudomonadota; Gammaproteobacteria; Enterobacterales; Enterobacteriaceae. The record is from RNAcentral.
UUGAGAGUUUGAUCAUGGCUCAGAUUGAACGCUGGCGGCAGGCCUAACACAUGCAAGUCGAACGGUAACAGGAAGAAGCUUGCUUCUUCGCUGACGAGUGGCGGACGGGUGAGUAAUGUCUGGGAAACUGCCUGAUGGAGGGGGAUAACUACUGGAAACGGUAGCCAAUACCGCAUAACGUCGCAAGACCAAAGAGGGGGACCUUCGGGCCUCUUGCCAUCGGAUGUGCCCAGAUGGGAUUAGCUAGUAGGUGGGGUAACGGCUCACCUAGGCGACGAUCCCUAGCUGGUCUGAGAGGAUGACCAGCCACACUGGAACUGAGACACGGUCCAGACUCCUACGGGAGGCAGCAGUGGGGAAUAUUGCACAAUGGGCGCAAGCCUGAUGCAGCCAUGCCGCGUGUAUGAAGAAGGCCUUCGGGUUGUAAAGUACUUUCAGCGGGGAGGAAGGGAGUAAAGUUAAUACCUUUGCUCAUUGACGUUACCCGCAGAAGA